Long non-coding RNA from Danio aesculapii, 3246 nucleotides. RefSeq lists it as uncharacterized. NCBI's taxonomy places the organism in Eukaryota, Metazoa, Chordata, Actinopteri, Cypriniformes, Danionidae. The record is from RefSeq and is a predicted model, not a curated record. The transcript is spliced from 3 exons.
UCGAACCCAAACAAGGUUAAUGAGGUCAAACUGAGAGCAACACCCCUCUCCUUCACUAACAUGUAAUCAUGUUACUCAACGCGGAGGCUGGAAGUUGUCGUCUGACUGAAUACACACUGAUCUCUACUGAGUGCCAGAGUCCCACUGGGAGCGUGUACUUACAAUAUUUGACUGCAGGAUAAGAUCACUGUCUGCCAAACACAACUGCAAGUCUACCAUGAAACCAAAGCUACGGACUAAUCACGAAGUUGAAAAGCAACAAAAGAAAAUAAAUAAAGAAAGCAGCGCCGGCAAAUUAAUUUCACCCCAGCAUGACGCCACAGCGCACAGGAGAGACUCAAGACUUUAGGGUUCGACAGGAGAAGAAAUACGAGUGAAAGAGAAAGAAAGACAGGGAGAGACUGAAAGAAAGGAAGAUAUUGAAAAGGAGAGACUUUUUCCUUUGUGUCUGUUGAGUGUGAGACGAGGGGCCGAGGGCACCGGGGGGUCGAGUUCGUGUGUGUGUGUCGUGAGGAGCCGCAGACGUUGCCUGCUGGGGGUCUGAGACGGAGUUGAAAGGAGCGAUUCCCUGUGUGUUCAGAGAAAUAGCGCACUCUUCAUUAAUUAUGUAUUUCUCCCAUAGAAAGCCUGGCAAAACUCACUCAGACAUCCAGCACUAAGCCGGCUUCCUGUAGCUGGUAAUGGGACAUCAGGAAGGGGAAGAAGAGGGGAUCACAACAGAGGAAUCUGAAGGUGGAGAAAAGUGACUUUGGUUGCUUUUUUAAUGCAUGGAGACUGACAUGUAAUUGGAAUACAUUUUGUACAUUUGUUCAUUCAUUCAUUCUCUUUUUGACUAAGUCCCUUUAUUAAUCAGGGGUCGCCACAGCAAAAUGAACCGCCAACCUAUCAGCAUAUGUUUUAUGCAGCAGAUGCCCUUCCAGCUGCAACCCAUCACUGGGAAACACCCAUCAUUCUCACACAAACACUACGGACACCGCAUGUCUUUGGACCUACACCUUCACCUACACCGCAUGUCUUUGGACUUGUGGGGGAAACCGGAGUACCUGGAGGAAACCCUCGCAAAGACGAGGAGAACAUGGAAACUCCACACAGAAAUGCCAACUGACCCAGCCAAGGCUCGAACCAGCAACCUUCUUGAUGUGAGGCGAUCAUGCUACCCACUGAGCCACCAAAUUCAUAAUUACAAAUUUUUACCUUUUGAUCAUUCGACUUAAUUUUUAUUUAUUUAUGCAUUAUAAAUCGCAUAUUAAAUUGCAUAAUAUUAAUGAACUAAACAAUUUUACUAUGUAAUUUCUACAGUUUUAUUUUAUGUCAUCUAAAGAAAAAUGACCUAGCCUGCAUUCAUAUAAUGAGAAACAUGCAGAGAUAAAAAUCCGCCCACAGUUAUGCAGGUGUUAUGUGAUGGCGCUGGAGAACGGAGUUGCGGAUCCAAAUGCAGGAUUUAUUACACAGAGAAUGGUCAGGCAGGCAGUCACAAUCAGGGGAAAAUGAUAACAUACAGGCAAAUCCAAAAGAGUGCUCAAUAACAGGCGAAUGGUCAGCACAGGCGGGACUAACAACGUAAACAUACAAAACAAAGCAAGGGUCAAACCAGCAAGACAAAGGAAAUGCGUCGUAAUGUCACAAAGCAGUAAAAUGAUACUCAGCAAUUGGUGUGUGUGUGUGUGUGUGUGUCUGCUGCUUUUAAAGUCCAUGUAAUCAGUUCAUAACGAUCCUCUUGCUGUGUGUGUGUGUGCGUGUGUGUGUGUGUGUGCGUGGGUGUGUGCGUGUGUGUGUGUGCGCGCGUGCGCGUGUGUGUGUGUGAUCAAAGUGAAACAGGAACAGGUGUGGGUGUGUGGUGCAUGACAGGAUUUGUAGUUCUUUUGGUGGCAGAUUUGUAGUUCUCCAGCGAUCUGUAUGGACUAGAUCACUGGUGAUUGUGACAAUAGGGAACAGAAAAUUUAAGUGUAAUUUAUACAGUUUUAUUUAAUUUCAUUUAUUUUACUUAAAUUUAUUUUUAUUAUUAUUUAAUUUAUCCAAAGAAAAAUGACCAAGCCUGCAUUGAUAUAAUGAGAAAAAUGCAGAGAUAAAAAUCUGCCCACGGAUCAAAUGUUUUUUACAGUUUAAUUUAAUUUGAUUUAUUUAUUUUAUUUGAUUUAUUUUUUUAAUCCAAAACCAAAUUACCUAGACUGCAUUGUAAUGCCGAGAUAAUAUGCAGUAUGAGCAAUAUGCAGAGAUAAAUAUGCAAAACAAUUAUGAACAAAAAAAAGAUCUAGCCUGCAUUGAUAUAAGGAGAAACAUGCAAGGAUAAAAAUCUUCACGUGGUUAUGCAAGGUUAUAAAACAGCUCAAAACAUUUUAAUGAUACAUCAUCAGAGGCCACAAAAUGUGCAACAGUACAAAAAGGUGUGAAAGUGCAAAACGCUUUCAAAAAGCCCUUCUUCAGUGUAUAGUUCAACACAGCGCCUGCCAUGUGCAAGCCGUUUUCAUUUUUAAUCAUUCUCAGAAUCAAGAUUUCUUGAUAUGAACAAUUCAAAUCUGCAAUCAGACCUGCACCCUAAACACUCAAAAAACUCCCAUGUACAUCCCAAUAUAUUCACAGUUACAAAACCUCAAUGUAAAGAUUAUACAGUGCUGUAUGUUUCUAUAAUGAGAAACAUGCUGGAGCAUAUUUUACAGUUAGAAAUGACUCUGAAAUCUUAGUAUAAUUUUAAGGAAACAAUGUCCUGUCUGCAAGAAAAAAUUAUUGCAAGCAGUUCCACCAUACAAAACCCCCCUGUGUACCAUCAAGCUGUUAAAAAAAAAAACAGCUGAGAAGAUGAAAUCUUGUUUGCUUAGAGGUUAUUAGUGCUGCAGCCUGCGUGUGACUACAGUAUGCUGGCCAUUGCUGAAAUCUGGCUUAAGUGUGUUUCUGUUUCUCUGAGCUUCUUUUCAUGCUGGACUCUGUGAGUGCGCGAGCCCUUAAGCAACAUUUAGAUUUUUAAUCAGUCUGUGAGAUUGAAAUCACCAGAGCCAACAUGUUAAUGGUUUGAUCUAGUUGUGGAUAAAUGUGUAGUGGCUUCAUGUUUAGGAGAGGAUCUUUUCAAAAAUCUUGCAGACUGUUGGGACUGCACUUAAACACACCAAAUCAUCACAUAAUGAUUAUGAUUUACUGCUUUUACCUAGCGCAAGGAUACAAAUUUUGUGUUUUGUGAGAAUGUGCAUUUGAAGGAGCUAUAAAGCAAAGAUACAAGUCUUUUACAGUUUAAUGUGACAGUUUAUUAAAAUA